This is a long non-coding RNA of Oncorhynchus tshawytscha (Chinook salmon), 505 nucleotides long. The record is from Ensembl. NCBI's taxonomy places the organism in Eukaryota, Metazoa, Chordata, Actinopteri, Salmoniformes, Salmonidae.
UACAGAGUCAAUGUGGAGGCUAUAUACAGGGAGGUACCGGUACAGAGUCAAUGUGGAGACUAUAUACAGGGGGUACCGGUACAGAGUCAAUGUGGAGACUAUAUACAGGGGGUACCAGUACAGAGUCAAUGUGGAGGCUAUAUACAGGGGGUACCAGUACAGAGUCAAUGUGGAGGCUAUAUACAGGGGGUACCAGUACAGAGUCAAUGUGGAGGCUAUAUACAGGAGGUACCAGUACAGAGUCAAUGUGGAGGCUAUAUACAGGGGGUACCAGUACAGAGUCAAUGUGGAGACUAUAUACAGGGAGGUACCGGUACAGAGUCAAUGUGGAGGCUAUAUACAGGGAGGUACCGGUACAGAGUCAAUGUGGAGGCUAUAUACAGGGAGGUACUGGUACAGAGUCAAUGUGGAGGUUAUAUACAGGGAGGUACCGGUACAGAGUCAAUGUGGAGGUUAUAUACAGGGAGGUACCGGUACAGAGUCAAUGUGGAGGCUAUAUACAGGG